RNAcentral lists this transfer RNA (62 nucleotides) under Lycoprogenthes sp. UPOL A00524. Its description in RNAcentral is "tRNA-Phe". The record is from RNAcentral. Lineage: Eukaryota; Metazoa; Arthropoda; Insecta; Coleoptera; Lycidae.
UUAUAAUAGCUUAAGUAAGAGUUUAAUAUUGAAGAUAUUAAGGUAGUAUAACUUUACCAUAU